GACGAACCGUGCGAACGUUAUUCGGAAUCACUGGGCCUAAAGCGCGUGUAGGCGGGCCGGCACGUCCGACGCUGAAAUCCCCCGGCUCAACCGGGGAAGGGGCGCGGAUACGUCCGGCCUGGAGGGGGGUAGGGGGAGCGGGAACUGCCGGUGGAGCGGUGAAAUGCGUUGAGAUCGGCAGGAACGCCCGCGGCGAAAGCGCGCUCCUGGACCCCACCUGACGCUGAGACGCGAAAGCCAGGGGAGCGAACGGG
This 254-nucleotide ribosomal RNA is filed under the name uncultured bacterium. RNAcentral's name for it is "partial 16S ribosomal RNA". It matches the Rfam family "Bacterial small subunit ribosomal RNA", at positions 524 to 776 of the family's 1533-position model. The record is from RNAcentral.